AUUGAACGCUGGCGGCAUGCCUUACACAUGCAAGUCGAACGGCAGCACGGGAGCAAUCCUGGUGGCGAGUGGCGAACGGGUGAGUAAUAUAUCGGAACGUGCCCAGUCGUGGGGAUAACGUAGCGAAAGCUACGCUAAUACCGCAUACGAUCUAUGGAUGAAAGCGGGGGAUCGCAAGACCUCGCGCGAUUGGAGCGGCCGAUAUCAGAUUAGGUAGUUGGUGAGGUAAAGGCUCACCAAGCCGACGAUCUGUAGCUGGUCUGAGAGGACGACCAGCCACACUGGGACUGAGACACGGCCCAGACUCCUACGGGAGGCAGCAGUGGGGAAUUUUUGGGACAAUGGGCGAAAGCCUGAUCAGCAAUGCCGCGUGAGUGAUGAAGG
Molecule: ribosomal RNA, 384 nt
Filed under: uncultured bacterium
Lineage: Bacteria
Description: bacterial SSU rRNA
Rfam family: Bacterial small subunit ribosomal RNA
Source: RNAcentral